GUCGGUCAACGAGGUAGUUCACGCGUGCCGUAUUUUCACGAAAUAAGCGGAUUUAAAGUGUUUUGUAUUUACCAAAAACUGCCAGUUUUAUGUCAGUGCGUAAGAACUUCUCUUUCGUGUAAAAAUUACAGCAAUUGAUUAAUAUGGCGGCAAAUCUCAACAAGAUCAUAACGAAGCCACAAAACCGUGGUUUUAUAGUCCGAAAGCCUGUAAAGACAACAGCCGAACAAGAAAAGGCUCUACGGGAUCAGCUUCACAUUGAGAUCGAGAACAAAUCUAAAGCUUGCUCCAACCCCACUUACGACUGUUCGAUACCACGAGUAGAAGGUUUUGAAUUUUGCAUCCGACAUAUCCUUCAGGAUCCCCGUGCCCCAUACAAACAGUGUGCCUACACAUAUCCGAGUAAUGGCAAGAAAUGUUUGCAACCAGCUCCAAAAUACGACGGGAAAAAAGAACCUGGACUCACAAACUAUUGUUUUGAACAUAGUCGUUUGAUACAAUUGACAAAAACACGGAAUACAGUGGGAAAGUACAAACAAGUUGAAACAAAUGAAGCUUUUAUGAAUGAGCUUACACAUCAUAUUAAAAUUGAUGGUUCGUCGACAAAUUUUACUGAGACAGAUGAGGAGAUUGAUGUUGUGUCUGCUAAUGCUGAUCCUUUCAUACAUUAUGUUCAUUCGGCAGAUUUUGAAAAUAUUGGGAAGGACGAGCCCCCGAAACGCAGACUUUUGGACUAUGCCUCAGAUUCUUCGUCAGAUGAAGACAUGCCCACAACAAGCAAUACGUGGCGAUCACAUGAAUGGGACAAUUCCGAUAAUGAAAGCGUCGAUUCCCAAAACGAGGAUUUACUCAAGCACGCUGGUAUUUACACUACCGAGGAAGCUACAAUGAUAACCAAACAAAAAAUGAUGCGCUUGCAAGUUCUCUACAUGGAGCAGAUUCUACGUUUGCAGCAUUUAUUGAAAGAAAAACGAAGGAAAUAUUUACAGGCCAUCAAAAAGGAGCGCGAAACGCUAUGCAGUAUCCAUGACCAACCCAAAGACACACCUCAAGAAAGGAAACUGUACCGCAAACUCAAAGCUCUAAAUCGUUACCACAAACGAUAUGGAAUGGAAGCAGUUCUCUAUAGAAAGUACAAAGAAAAACGUGAUCGUGCCACAGAAGGCUUGAGUUACAAGCCGCCAUCAUACCAAAAGUGCAUAUUUUCAGAAGGUGGAGUGAAGUGCGGUGAUCGCGCUAUUCCGAGUUGUAAAUAUUGUAAAAAACACAUCCUGGAAGACAAGAAACAAGUCCUGUUCAGGGCUUGCGGUGUCGAAAAGAGUGGGAUAGUUUGCCAAGAACCAGUGCCCAAUAUUUUCGAGGAUGCAACUUGUGUAUUGCACUUGGAUCUGCCGCCGGCAAAAGCAUAUACCCAGAAGUUUAGAAAAGUGCAAGAAACGAAAAAUACGGACAAUAACACAAUCACAGACUAUGAGAAUAUAGAAAAAUGAACUAACUUGUCUGUUGUUCAGAAAUGCUUUAUUGAAUUUGUUUGUUCAUUCAUUUACUCCUUUCUAACCCGAGUUUUUCAACUACGAAUACAGCAUUUCUUCACAUGUUAAAUAACAUUUUGGUCGCAAAUUUUACCCCAAAACAAGUCUCACAGUCAUGAAAUAUGUGAAUUCAAGAUGAAGUCUAAAUAGAAAUAAAAGUAUUCAAGCAAAAAUAACAAACAAUAUUAAAAACAAAUAACAUGUCCGAGAUACAGUGGAAUGCAACACUCAAAGAAUUAUCCGUCUGAACAAAUUUUCAGAAAUUUGAAUCAGAAACAGAAGAAGAGGAGGAAGCUAGUGACACAAUCAUAAAGAAAGCCGACGAUGAUAUAAAACUAGAAACUGAAGAAAAUAUAUCGUCAGCGACAGAUAUAACGGCAGCCCAAUUGGUGGGGACAG
RNAcentral lists this unclassified non-coding RNA (1931 nucleotides) under Hermetia illucens (black soldier fly). RNAcentral describes it as "kAT8 regulatory NSL complex subunit 2, transcript variant X8". The record is from RNAcentral. Lineage: Eukaryota; Metazoa; Arthropoda; Insecta; Diptera; Stratiomyidae.